This 545-nucleotide ribosomal RNA is filed under the name uncultured fungus. Its description in RNAcentral is "SSU rRNA". It matches the Rfam family "Eukaryotic small subunit ribosomal RNA", at positions 564 to 1111 of the family's 1831-position model. Lineage: Eukaryota; Fungi. The record is from RNAcentral.
GUGCCAGCAGCCGUGGUAAUUCCAGCUCCAAUAGCGUAUAUUAAAGUUGUUGUGGUUAAAAAGCUCGUAGUUGAACCUUGGGCCUGGCUGGCCGGUCCGCCUCACCGCGUGCACUGGUCCGGCCGGGCCUUUCCCUCUGUGGAACCCCAUACCCUUCACUGGGCGUGGCGGGGAAACAGGACAUUUACUUUGAAAAAAUUAGAGUGCUCCAGGCAGGCCUAUGCUCGAAUACAUUAGCAUGGGAUAAUAAAAUAGGACGCGCGGGUCUCUUUUGUUGAUUUAUAGGACCGCCGUAAUGAUUAAUAGGGACGGUCGGGGGCAUCAGUAUUCAACUGUCAGGAGGUGAAAUUCUUGGAUCAGUUGAAGACUAACUACUGCGAAAGCAGUUGCCAAGGAUGUUUUCAUUAAUCAGGAACGAAAGUUAGGGGGUCGAAGAGGGAUGAGAUGGCCGUCGUAGUCUUAAGCAUAAACUAUGCCGACUAGGGAUCGGACGGUGUUAUUCAUGACCCGUCUCGGCACCCUAACGAGAAAUCAAAGUGCUUGGG